CCUACGGGAUGCAGCAGUGGGGAAUAUUGGACAAUGGGCGAAAGCCUGAUCCAGCAAUGCCGCGUGCGUGAAGAAGGUCUUCGGAUUGUAAAGCACUUUCGACGGGGACGAUGAUGACGGUACCCGUAGAAGAAGCCCCGGCUAACUUCGUGCCAGCAGCCGCGGUAAUACGAAGGGGGCUAGCGUUGCUCGGAAUGACUGGGCGUAAAGGGCGCGUAGGCGGUUUAUGCAGUCAGAUGUAAAAUCCCCGGGCUUAACCUGGGAACUGCAUUUGAGACGCAUAGACUAGAGGUCGAGAGAGGGUUGUGGAAUUCCCAGUGUAGAGGUGAAAUUCGUAGGUAAUGGGAAGAACACCGGUGGCGAAGGCGGCAACCUGGCUCGAUACUGACGCUGAGGCGCGAAAGCGUGGGGAGCACACAGGAUUAGAUACCCCGGUAGUC
Molecule: ribosomal RNA, 440 nt
Filed under: uncultured bacterium
Lineage: Bacteria
Description: bacterial SSU rRNA
Rfam family: Bacterial small subunit ribosomal RNA
Source: RNAcentral